UACGUAGGGUGCAAGCGUUGUCCGGAAUUAUUGGGCGUAAAGAGCUCGUAGGCGGUUUGUCGCGUCUGCUGUGAAAAUCCAGGGCUUAACCCUGGACCUGCAGUGGGUACGGGCAGACUAGAGUGCGGUAGGGGAGAUCGGAAUUCCUGGUGUAGCGGUGAAAUGCGCAGAUAUCAGGAGGAACACCGGUGGCGAAGGCGGAUCUCUGGGCCGUAACUGACGCUGAGACGCGAAAGCGUGGGGAGCGAACAGG
This 253-nucleotide ribosomal RNA is filed under the name uncultured bacterium. RNAcentral describes it as "partial 16S ribosomal RNA". It matches the Rfam family "Bacterial small subunit ribosomal RNA", at positions 524 to 776 of the family's 1533-position model. The record is from RNAcentral.